AAUAUGUUGACAUAUAGAAUUUGUUGAAUUCAUUCCGAUUUAACAGCAGUCCUAAUAAUACUGCGCCAAAAAACUAAAGCCUAGACGUUAGUUCAUCCCACUUUCUUUCUGAGAGGUCAUUCUCAUCAUGACUCGACUGAUCUGAGCGUGGUUAGCUUAGUUUUAUCGUGGUUCUCGUGUUUUCAAAAUGUUUAUUUAAAGUUGUAGAGUGUACACACAAACACACAACUCGACUACUCACAUCAACAAAUACAUGCAGUGCACGACGACUUUCAACAUAUUCAUUACUGUUCACUGUUCAUAUUACAAUUUUAGACAAUUUAGAACAAAAUACUGCGUAUUAAACUUGGCAUCGGCCCAUAGUUUUGUACUAACUACAAAAUGUCAGUCACAUGCGAAUUUUUACAACUGCCAAAUCGAUCCGAACAAGUAAAGACAGAAAAGAAGAAAAGCAUAACAGACAGCACUCGUGAUUUUGUCAACGACGCUAUAUUGAUCUGAUCGAAUCAAGUCAUCAGCCCGUAUAAAACAAAGAUUUAUCCCCCCAAACUACGAAAGUGCGAUUCAGCUAAAAUAAACAAAGACGUCAAAAUUACUUGGAACGAAUAAUCAAGAUCAUUGAUCAAGAUUGGAAAAUGCAUCAUACCGACUUAUGAUCUACUGGCCACAUUUUACCCUCGAAUGUGAAUUGCACAGAAUUGCACUUGUAAAAUAUAUUGGAAUGCAUAAAAGAGCUCAUAUUUUUUGUAACACAAGGAAAGUAAAUAAAUAUUUCACACAUGUUAUGCGUCUACGUCAACUAUGUGAGAAAAUCUGA
Folsomia candida is the source of this 817-nucleotide long non-coding RNA. RefSeq lists it as uncharacterized. NCBI's taxonomy places the organism in Eukaryota, Metazoa, Arthropoda, Collembola, Entomobryomorpha, Isotomidae. The transcript has 2 exons. The record is from RefSeq and is a predicted model, not a curated record.